RNAcentral lists this ribosomal RNA (459 nucleotides) under uncultured bacterium. RNAcentral's name for it is "partial 16S ribosomal RNA". It matches the Rfam family "Bacterial small subunit ribosomal RNA", at positions 338 to 795 of the family's 1533-position model. The record is from RNAcentral.
CCUACGGAGGGCAGCAGUGAGGAAUAUUGGUCAAUGGCCGCAGGGCUGAACCAGCCAAGUCGCGUGAGGGAUGACGGUCCUAUGGAUUGUAAACCUCUUUUGUCAGGGCGCAAAGGGCGCCACGUGUGGCGCUUUGCGAGUACCUGAAGAAAAAGCAUCGGCUAACUCCGUGCCAGCAGCCGCGGUAAUCCGGAGGAUGCGAGCGUUAUCCGGAUUUAUUGGGGUUAACGGGUGCGCAGGCGGAAUGUCAAGUCAGCGGUAAAAUUUCGGGGCUCAACCCCGUCGUGCCGUUGAAACUGGCGUUCUUGAGUGAGCGAGAAGUAUGCGGAAGGCGUGGUGGAGCGGUGAAAUGCAUAGAGAUCAUACAGAACACCGAUUGCGAAGGCAGCUUACCAAGCUACUUCUGACGUUGAGGCACGAAAGCGUGGGGAGCAAACAGGAUUAGAUACCCUUGUAGUC